AGCGAACGCUGGCGGCGUGCUUAACACAUGCAAGUCGAACGUGAAAGUAGCAAUAUGAGUAAAGUGGCGUACGGGUGAGUAACACGUGGGUAAUCUACCAAAGAGUCUGGGAUAACCGGCCGAAAGGCUGGCUAAUACUGGAUAGAUCAAGCGCAUUAUAAAGGUGCGAUUGGGAAAGGGAGCUCGUAAGAGCCUUCGCUUUUUGAUGAGCCCGCGUCUGAUAGCUAGUUGGUGAGGUAAUGGCUCACCAAGGCGACGAUCAGUAGCUGGUCUGAGAGGAUGAUCAGCCACACUGGAACUGAAACACGGUCCAGACUCCUACGGGAGGCAGCAGUGGGGAAUCUUGCGCAAUGGACGAAAGUCUGACGCAGCCACGCCGCGUAAGUGAAGAA
This 392-nucleotide ribosomal RNA is filed under the name uncultured bacterium. RNAcentral's name for it is "bacterial SSU rRNA". It matches the Rfam family "Bacterial small subunit ribosomal RNA", at positions 29 to 412 of the family's 1533-position model. The record is from RNAcentral.